GACGAACGCUGGCGGCGUGCUUGACACAUGCAAGUCGAACGGAAAGGCCUGCUUUCCCUUGUGGAUUGCGGGUACUCGAGUGGCGAACGGGUGAGUAACACGUGAGUGAUCUGCCCCCAACUUGGGUAUAAGCCUGGGAAACUGGGUCUAAUUCCCGAUAGGACUGCAGGGUGGUGCCUGUGGUGGAAAACGAUUUUCUAGUGGUUGGGGAUGAGCUCGCGGCCUAUCAGCUUGUUGGUGGGGUAAUGGCCUACCAAGGCGGCGACGGGUAGCCGGCCUGAGAGGGUGGACGGCCACAUUGGGACUGAGAUACGGCCCAGACUCCUACGGGAGGCAGCAGUGGGGAAUAUGGCACAAAGGGCGGAAGCCUGAUGCAGCGACGCCGCGUGGGGGAUGACGGCCUUCGGGUUGUAAACUCCUUUCGACCGCGAGGAAGCCACCUGGUUGGAAGGGUGGUGACGGUAGUGGUAGAAGAAGCACCGGCUAACUACGUG
RNAcentral lists this ribosomal RNA (494 nucleotides) under uncultured bacterium. RNAcentral's name for it is "partial 16S ribosomal RNA". It matches the Rfam family "Bacterial small subunit ribosomal RNA", at positions 28 to 507 of the family's 1533-position model. The record is from RNAcentral.